CUAGACAUCUGGUCCUAGCAUCUUUUUGGCAUCGACCCACAGCUCGAACUCUUCUGCCGUGACAAACUUAAGUUCU
Molecule: transfer RNA, 76 nt
Filed under: Shewanella putrefaciens
Lineage: Bacteria; Pseudomonadati; Pseudomonadota; Gammaproteobacteria; Alteromonadales; Shewanellaceae
Description: tRNA-Lys
Source: RNAcentral